Molecule: long non-coding RNA, 3054 nt
Filed under: Sus scrofa (pig)
Lineage: Eukaryota; Metazoa; Chordata; Mammalia; Artiodactyla; Suidae
Description: lncRNA (ENSSSCG00040009393.1)
Source: RNAcentral
GUUCUAAAACAAAAUUGUUACCCUUUCAACAUACGAAUCUCAGAAAGCAGGCUGACUGACAGCAGACUUUAACAUCUCCCCUCUAAUGAGCUUCCAACACAGUUAUGCUUACGUUUCACUACUGCCCUUCAGACAUAUCCAAGAGUAGAGAUGUGCUUCCUUUGCUUAUUAAAUCUAUAUUUAAUUUUUUAAGUGGAAUUAUUUUAAUCUAAAAGAGAAUUUUGCUAGAUAAAAGUAAAAAUAAGCAAAUAAUAAACAUGGUACCUAAUCUUCCCUUUUAUUAUUAUAAAACAAAUGAGGCUAAUGUAUAAACAUCAGUGCAUCUUACACUUCCCAAAUUCAAAAGAGCUCCAAGCUACUUAUAUCAGGGCAAUGUUCUAUGAGUCACAUCUUGCACCUUAGCACUUUAACACUUUAAAGAAUGCUACCCAGGGAGGGAUGGGCUAGGGGCUGGGGACUGGCAGAUGCACAUUGUGGUAUAUGGAAUGGUUGGCCAGUGGGGACCUGCUGUACAGCACAGGGAACUCUACCCAAUAUUCUGUGAUAAUCCCUAUGGGGAAAAAAUCUGAAAAAGAAUGAAUGUGUAUAUAUGUAUAACUGAAUUGCUUUGUUGUACAGCAGAAAUUAUCACAUUGUACAUCGACUACACUUCAGUAAAAUUUUUUAAAAUGAAAAAAAAAUAAUGUUACCUGAUAGACCACAAACACAAUAUACACUUUACUCCAAUGGAGUUUAUUUAUAUUUCUCUAGGAGUUCUAACUAGGCAGCAUAAUUAACUGUGGAGACAGUGAUCUGAAUGGAGGGAAAAAGAUGCUCCCACAUUUUGAGAAUAGUUGCAUCUGAGCUGUCCAUGGUUCCGAGAGAUUUAGAACAUCACUUUGAAGAAGUCCUAAAAUUUAAGUAACAAACCUGAAGAACUGUUAGUAGAGAGAUUUGCUAUGUGCACCCCCAGACUGACACUUGGCAUCAAAAAGACCUGAAAUAGACACAGGAGUUACUGCUGCUCAUCUUGCUUCUCCUGUGUACGAGCUUCCCAUCCUCUCUCCAUGCCAUUUCACCCUUCCCACCUCAGUUAGACACCCAGCUCAUACCAAUCAGAGCUUCUCAUCCCUCAGGAUGAACAGCUAUCUGGGGGUAUGCACAUGGUGAGAAUAACCAAACAUAACCAUUCUGAAGAAAUUAUAAAUACUAAGGGUUAGAGAAGAAUGGUCUUCAUUCUCUGGCAUUAUUAGCCAUGAGGCCUAGGACUGACCACUAACCCUCUUUCCUGCCACUUGUUACUCAAAAAUUAUACCAAAAUCAGGAAUUAGUAAAGGCGAGAGAGACACACAGAAUCCAGAAUACUAGAGAUUGAACCCGUGCCACAGCAGCAAUCCAAGCCGCGGCAGUGGCAAUGCCAGAUCCUUAACCUACUGUGCCACAAGAGAACUGCCCCUCUCCCUUUUCAGUUAAACUAAUUUGCUUGGUUUUUGGUUUUUGGUCUUUUCCUUUCUAGAGCCACACCUGCAGCAUAUGGAAGUUCCUGGGCUAGGGGUCAAAUCAGAGCUGCAGCUGCCAGCCUACACCACAGCCACAGCAACAAUGGAUCAGAGCCACAUCUGUGACUUAGGACAAAGCAACACCAGAUCCUUAACCCACUGAGCGAGGCCAGGAAUGAAAUCCACAUCCUCACAGACACUGUGUCGGGUUCUUAACCUGCUAAGUCACCAUGGGAACUUCUCAGUUAAUCUAAUUUGAAUUAAAUUUCUGCCACUUGCAGUUGAAAGAGUCCUGAUUCCCAACGCAAGAACAUAAUAAAUUAAUUCUCUCUUUGAAAACACAAAAUAAUAGAAUAUUGGAUAAAAACACCUACAUUACAUAAUGAAAUAAAUUUAAUUUUGCUUAUCAGUAGAUUAACUUGAAUAAUGAGCUGGCAUAUAUAAUUCCUUUGCUACCAAGUAACCAGCUUUUGAGAACCUUGAGGGACAAAACCAAAAAGCAUUCUUCUUAGAAGAAACAUUUAUAAAGAAAGCUAAGGACACAACAGACUAAAAGAGACAUGCUUCAAAGUAUAAAAAGAGUAGGAAUGUGAAGAUUUCAACAACAUUUAAAACAAUGCGGAGAGCUGCAUUUAGCAAGGCACAUUUUCAACUGAGGACAAUGGAAAAUAUGAGGGAAUAUAUUUCAUGAAUUAUGCAUUAUAUCAGAACCUCAUUUAGUAAGCAUUCUGACCUCUGCUAUUUCUGUGCUAGUGUCUGUUGUACUCUCAAUUAAUCAGGAAAGAAAUUAGCAUGGUAGAUAAUAGAUAAUGCUAGAAUUAAAGACAGGAAGUUGAAAACCUUUAUAGUAAUUUAACAUUUAAAAGCAUGAAAUUAGUUUUGAAAUUAAAAUGAAAUCAAAGAACAGAAGCAAGAAGUAACCUCUUUUUGGUUCAAGCUAUAAUUUUUAAGAGGACAUAAAAUUACUCUCUAUAUUUUUAUUCUCCACGAUGUGGUUCAAAUGUGAAUGAACUAUUUAAAUUAUAUAUUUAUAUAAUAAAAAUAUAGAAUAGAGAGCAGGGAGUCGAUCAAUGUAGGCCCUGCACUGAAACUGAAUGUAGCACAUUAAAAAAUAAUCUGGUGGUUAGAUAUAGAAGAAAACUUUAGUAAGGAAAACUUCUAUGUUGAAAUUACUAUAGGUUAAUAUUUUCAUCCUAAAUGGGAAAUUUAGGAGUUCCCGGUGUGGCUCAGUGGGUUAAGGAUCCAGCAUAUUGCCGUAGCUAUGGCAUAGGUCGCAGCUGUGGCUCAGAUUUGAUCCCUGGCCUGGAAACUUCCAUAUACCAUGGGUGUGCCCCCCCCCCAAAAAAAGGAAAUUUAAAUGAUUAUAUGUGUUUGUGGAUUAAUUUUCCUACCAGUUAAAUUAAUGUAAUGAUUUUUCUCCUAAAUAUUAAUUAUGUAUUAAUUAUAAAUUAUUUUCAUUUAUAAAAUAGAAAAUUCUAAGCAGAGAAAUAAUUAAAAUGGCACUAUCUCCUAAAAAUUCUACAAAGCUCUCAUGAUGUCCCUCAAAUAUUGCCCAUUACUUUUCUGCCUUUAUUCC